Bradysia coprophila is the source of this 587-nucleotide unclassified non-coding RNA. NCBI's taxonomy places the organism in Eukaryota, Metazoa, Arthropoda, Insecta, Diptera, Sciaridae. The record is from RefSeq and is a predicted model, not a curated record.
AUUUCUGUGGUGAUCAGCGAGACACUUCAUAAAAACUUAGAAACUCGACUCAGAAUUCGACUUGGUAGCUCCAUAUCUUGAAAGAGACAACAACCUGUGAAACAAAAUGAUGAAAAUUGUGGUCGCUGUCUUUUUGUUAUUUUUAAUUGGGAAGGAAGUGAUGUCGCAAGAUUGCAACGCAAAAAAUGACCCGUGUGGCAACGCUAAACCGUGUUGUGCCGGUGCAGGAGUGUGCAAAGAUCAAGACAUUGGCGUUCCAUUAUGUCAAUGUACAAUUGACGGCUAUUGGCAAACGUGCACAUCGGAUGCCGAAUGCUGUGCAGGCCAUUGCAAUAGUCGUGGCUACUGCGGUUGCAUUCUGUCUGGUAAUUGGUGCACCGAAGGAAAAUCAGAAGAAUGUUGUGGAAAAGCGAGCAGCAUCGACGGCCAUUUGAUCAAAACUUGUGCAUCCGCAUGGCCACUUCAUCACGAGUGCUACUAGCUUUGAAAUGUAAUGACAAGACGGGCGAAAUGGAGUUUUCUAAUGAUGAAAGAAGUUGUCCGAAGAAAUUGUUUAAAUAAAUUCAGAGACCUGUAGAGGGAGUUCG